UGCCUACGGGAGGCAGCAGUAAGGAAUAUUGCGCAAUGGGCGAAAGCCUGACGCAGCGACGCCGCGUGGGGGAUGAAGGUCUUCGGAUUGUAAACCCCUUUCGGGAGGGAAGAUGGAGCGAGCAAUCGUUCGGACGGUACCUCCAGAAGCAGCCACGGCUAACUUCGUGCCAGCAGCCGCGGUAAUACGAAGGUGGCAAGCGUUGUUCGGAUUUACUGGGCGUACAGGGAGCGUAGGCGGUUCGGUAAGCCCUCUGUGAAAUCUCCAGGCUUAACCUGGAACAGUCGGAGGGGACUGCCGGGCUAGAGGACGGGAGAGGAGCGCGGAAUUCCCGGUGUAGCGGUGAAAUGCGUAGAGAUCGGGAGGAAGGCCGGUGGCGAAGGCGUCGCUCUGGAACGUUUCUGACGCUGAGGCUCGAAAGCGUGGGGAGCAAACAGGAUUAGAUACCCUGGUAGUCCACGCCUUAAACUAUGAACACUAAGUGUCGGCGGGUUACCGCCGGUGCCGCAGCUAACGCAUUAAGUAUUACGCCUGGGAAGUA
RNAcentral lists this ribosomal RNA (541 nucleotides) under uncultured bacterium. RNAcentral's name for it is "bacterial SSU rRNA". It matches the Rfam family "Bacterial small subunit ribosomal RNA", at positions 335 to 882 of the family's 1533-position model. The record is from RNAcentral.